Molecule: ribosomal RNA, 779 nt
Filed under: uncultured Neocallimastigales
Lineage: Eukaryota; Fungi; Neocallimastigomycota; Neocallimastigomycetes; Neocallimastigales
Description: partial large subunit ribosomal RNA
Rfam family: Eukaryotic large subunit ribosomal RNA
Source: RNAcentral
AUAGAGACUCAGAGCCGCAUAUCAAUAAGCGGAGGAAAAGAAACUAACUAGGAUUCCCUCAGUAACGGCGAGUGAAGCGGGAAGAGCUCAAAUUUGAAAUCUUCAAGGUUCUACCUUGACGAAUUGUAGUUUAAAGAAGUGUUUUCUGUUGGAGUUUUGGUAAAAGUUCUUUGGAAUAGGACAUCAUAGAGGGUGAGAAUCCCGUAUUUGACCAUUAUUUCCAGCUUUGUGAUACACUUUCAAAGAGUCGGAUUGUUUGGGAAUGCAGUCCAAAAUGGGUGGUAAAUUUCAUCUAAAGCUAAAUACUGGCGAGAGACCGAUAGCGAACAAGUACCGUGAGGGAAGGAUGAAAAGAACUUUGAAAAGAGAGUUAAACAGUACGUGAAAUUGUCAAAAGGGAAGCGUUUGACACCAGUGUUGUUUUCUCGAAAAUCAAUUAUAAUCAUGGUGGGAUGUUAAGUGUUGUAUUGACUUUAUCAGCUUUCUGCACUUUUUUUCCUAUCUUUUUUAAUGCACUUUUCGUUUAACAAGUCAACAUCAAUUUCUUUUGUUGUAAAAGAGUCAUUGGAAGGUGGCUUUCUUUUCGGAGAAAGUGUUUAUAGCCUUUGGCUUCUGCAAUCGGAGAGAUUGAGGUCUGCAGCGUAGAUCCUUCGGGGUUAGAUGCAUUUGUGCUAAGUUAUAGCCUUUCAUAGACAACUUGUUGACUAUGAUCAGUCAUGUAGCUUACUCGCUUAUGUCAUUUUACCUACGCUUAGGAUGUUGAUAUGCAUGACUGAUAU